CCUACGGGAGGCAGCAGUGGGGAAUAUUGCGCAAUGGGCGAAAGCCUGACGCAGCGACGCAGCGUGAGGGACGAAGGCCUUCGGGUUGUAAACCUCUUUCAGCGGGGACGAAGCGAAAGUGACGGUACCCGCAGAAGAAGCACCGGCUAACUACGUGCCAGCAGCCGCGGUAAUACGUAGGGUGCAAGCAUUGUCCGGAUUUAUUGGGCGUAAAGAGCUCGUAGGCGGCUUGUCACGUCGGAUGUGAAAACUCGGGGCUCAACCCCGAGCCUGCAUUCGAUACGGGCUAGCUAGAGUGUUGCAGGGGAGACUGGAAUUCCUGGUGUAGCGGUGAAAUGCGCAGAUAUCAGGAGGAACACCGGUGGCGAAGGCGGGUCUCUGGGCAACUACUGACGCUGAGGAGCGAAGGCGUGGGGAGCGAACAGGAUUAGAUACCCUGGUAGUCCACGCCGUAAACGGUGGGCGCUAGGUGUGGGGAACCUUCCGACGUUCUCUGUGCCGUAGCUAACGCAUUAAGCGCCCGCCUGGGGAGUACGGCGCGAGACGAACUACAAGAAGUAGACGCGNGAGACGNGCGACGACGACGACGAGGAGAGG
RNAcentral lists this ribosomal RNA (597 nucleotides) under uncultured bacterium. RNAcentral describes it as "bacterial SSU rRNA". The stretch from base 1 to 525 matches the Rfam family "Bacterial small subunit ribosomal RNA", at positions 338 to 873 of the family's 1533-position model. The record is from RNAcentral.